Non-coding RNA from Pimephales promelas (fathead minnow), 1323 nucleotides. Lineage: Eukaryota; Metazoa; Chordata; Actinopteri; Cypriniformes; Leuciscidae. The record is from RefSeq and is a predicted model, not a curated record.
CCUAGAGGGCGCCCUGGUACGGCUGAGUAGUUAGACCUAUCUCGAAGGAACGCGCAGUUUUGUUUUAAAAAAACGCGUGAGCUGAGGCACGUUAGAAACUAACACCAAUCUACAUUGUUCGUUUACGCGAAAGUGAAAACCCCCAAUUUGGUGUUCGGUUUGUUGAGUGGUUGGAGUAGUGAUUCAUCGCCAGAAAACUUUGUUUCUCCCGAGUGCUAGAGAUUUCUGUGUGAGACGAGCAUAUACCUUCCACAGUGACGACGAUUGAGCAGGGGAGAACGAAGAGACGUUAGUGCACGUGAGAUGACCGUGGGGCGGGCUUUCUAGUGAGCUGUAUCGCUUCACAGAUUCCCACCUUCACAUGUAAAGGUUCUGCUGAGUGUGAUAUCCUUGGUGAGACACCCAGCUGUCCAAAAGCAUUGGAGCCGCACACCAAGACCUGACCGUCACCUGACAGACACAGUUAUUCAGCACUGAAUUCAACGAGAGGAAGUCUCAACAGGGAGGUCUAAGUGCACUUUAUCAACUCAAAGUUCUAAUAAAAACCUCAAUAUUACUGAUGUCUGCAAUAUCGGCAUGCUCGUUUAUUUUUCCAGGAUAUGAAUACGAGUAUGGCAUUGACGACCCAACCACUCACCUGUCAGGAUAAUAGAGAAGUCCCAACCGCAGGACACCUGCUGAACUCUUCCCCACCCAGACAAAGGGCAGGGUUGAAAGGUUAUGACCUCUGAAGUGUGACUGAGCCCUAACUGACCUUUGUUGUUGUGUCCACACAUCAGCAGGUCACCUGACUCUGGAUGGAGAAAUGUUGUUGUCAUACUUCAAAGUGUCCACUAGAGUGCGCCAUUGAUCCAUAAAUAUAUAAUGUCAAUGUCAGCAAAUACUGAAACAGUUAAAGGAUUAUUUUACUAAUUCGAACGACGUGUCCUUUCAGAGUGUUAGCAUUAAUAUCUAUUAUUUUUAAUAGUGUUAUAGGCCAGCUAACCAGUGAUGACAGCCGAAUGCCCGCCUCCUCCGGUUAUGCAGCGGACCUGCUCUGCCUGCAGUCCGCCGUGUGCACGCCGCGGCUCGGCUUGAUCUUCCGUGUGUCCCUGCCCCAGCUGCCCGGAACUGUUCGCUCCCUGUGAUACAAAAUCACGAUUUAUUGCUCAGGAAGCGCUGUUUUUGUGAGCUAUACUUAUUUGAGACUGCUUAUUUUAAUUUAUACUGUUACAUGUUCGCUGUAUUCUCGUGGAUUUAAGGAUGUAGACUGGUACCAAUACUUGUUUGUAAGCUUUGCGUUGUCAAAAGUAGGCUAAAUAAAACUUACCCACGUGUAAAGUA